This 3003-nucleotide unclassified non-coding RNA is filed under the name Leishmania donovani. RNAcentral describes it as "gene:LdHU3.17.0610(CDS-product:Zinc_finger_C3HC4_ type_(RING_finger)_containing_protein_putative)". Lineage: Eukaryota; Euglenozoa; Kinetoplastea; Trypanosomatida; Trypanosomatidae. The record is from RNAcentral.
CACUGCAUAUUUCACAGAAACGAUAGAAGCACACACGAAAAGAGCGACCGAGAGCCCGAGAGAGGGCCGAGCAGCAUCACCACCGGACAGAGCGUCGUGCCACCGGGGCCCUUUCACCCCUUUUGCGCGCCGUGCUCCUCCGCCUCUUCCUGCCCCAUCUCUGCCUUGGCACCCCCCGCCGCAUCUCGCUCCUGCGCUUACUAUUACCUCGCUACUAGCGCAGAGCUGUCAUAGAUUGAACUAGACACACAUGCACAUACAUCCUUGCGCAGCUGCCCCCUCUUCCCCCUUCCAUCGGAUUGUGCGGUGUCAGCACCUCUCAGUGGAGAGCUCGCAUGGGGAUGUCUGUUACCAUGAUUGACGCCAUACCGUUACUCAAGUCUACGCAUGCCAACUGCGUGUGCCCUGUGUGCCUCGACGUUUUCAAGAAACCGGUGUGCUUUCCCUGUGGCCACAUUCUAUGCCGCGCCUGCGCUAGUCGCUGCAUUGCAGCACGCCCGCGGUGCCCGCUGUGCAAUCAAGCGGUGCCCAACCUGCGCCACUGCUCCCCGCUGCCUCAGCUGUCUCUCCUUUGCGUGCUGACACGUGAGGUGGGGCUACGCGCCAGCGGGCGUCAGCUGCGAUCAUCCGUGCAGAACGCGGCAACGCCGUUGUCUCACAGCGAUCACGACUCCUCUAUGAAGCGGCGUCGAGGCGCCACCGGAUACGACGCGGUGGAGGGAGCGCAAGGGGAGAAUCAGGCACCGCGGCCGCGACGGUCGUCACUGUCACCCCCGCCGGAGCAGCACCCCUUCUUGUCAUUGCGUGAGCCUCGGGCAUCACAUCGUGUCGCGAGCGCAGUCGCUGCCACCGAGGGCAGCACCGCCAACCAUGCUCAGCACUCGAGUCUGCCAGGGCUUCUGCGUGCCGCAGCCGGCGAGACGCAGCGGCUGCAAAGUGAGUCACCUUCGCCACCACCGUUGAUGGCGGGAGUGGGCGAUGAUGUGCUCUCGGACGAAGCGCCGCACCGCUCGAUCAUCGCUCAGGCCACCACGUCUUUGCCGUCUGCCGUCGCGCGUCGUGUCGGGGAUAGCGGCGCACUUGGACGAGAUCAGGAUCGACCGCCGACAACCACACCAUCUCCGGCACUGUCGCCCUCGCCAGCGCCCUUCUCCACUCCCCUUCAGCUGAUGCGCAACCACAUCACGGAUCACGCUGAUCAGCUCGAUUCGACGCCGCGGCUGAGCCCGCCACCCUUCAUAGCAUUUGCGGUGGCAGAGGCGGCGAGCGUCACGGCUGCGGCAAGUACCGCACAUCGCAGUGGUGAGGCAUCUGCAAGUGUACUCGCUGCUGAACAUGCAUUGAAUUCCAAGAAAGCAUCUGCGUGGAGCCUGUGGAGACGCGGCCGGGGAGUGAUACACUGCACGCUUACCCCCCCAGCAGCGCGGCUUCUGGCACGACAAGCUGGAGUAGCUGAUGGGGCAGGCCGAGAAAAGACGGAGGCGGUGUCUAAAACGGCCUCAUCGUGGUCUGUCGCCUCUGCUGACACGGCCGCGUCAUUCUGGCACCGCUUCGGCUGCUGCGCCCUCUGCGGCCUUGACGUGGUGCAGCGCACGGCGGUGCGACAGCGUCUGCAACGACUCCUGCGAUCCCCGACAGCGCACUGCGAUCCAGCGGAGUUGGCUAUGCAGACUGAGGAGAGCCUCUCGCUGCUGCUAGGGCCGUUGUGGGGUGUGUGCUGCGAGGUGCAGGAGCAUAGCACCAACAUUACUCAAUCACCGGCGCCGACAUACGAAGGCGAGUAUACGACAACCGAACUCGACGCGGUGCAGGGGAGCUACUGUUGUCCUUGUCGUGGCGAGGUGACAGCGCACCACUUUACAGGCGUGGCUCACCACAAUUGUCUGGCGUGGGCUGGACUUCUAGACGUCUUUACCAACACCUCUCUCGAGGACCUUCCCGCCGCCGCUGCUGCUGGGGUGUACUUCAUUCCCAGUACGACCGCAUUGCUGCACAUGACGGUGCCGCUGCAGGAUCCAUUGGAGGUUCUCACGGCGCGCACAUCAGGUCGCGUGGCUCGCUGGCAGCUGCUGGCCGCGACUUUGUGUCACAUGCAUCAACGGGACGCGGAUGAAGAGAGUGAGCUGUGGCAACGCUUUAAGACAUCUGAUGGAAGCGGCGCAGAGGGACCGCUGAUGACAGUGCGCUGUGCGCUGUGCGAAGACGGUGCACCGCUGCUAGUCCCCAACUCACCUUCUUUUCCUUUUGGGGCGGGCCUGCGCACGUGCGAGGGCACAGAGCGUGGCGAGAGCAGCUGCGGUCAGCAGUACCACUACCCCUGCGCCCUGCUCGCCGGUGCCUCGGCCUGUAUUAUAUUCGGCUUGGAAGAUGAGCACAAUGUGCUGGACGCCAGCGCGAACACACCCGUUCGCGAUCGCAGCGCUGGAGGGAAGCGCGGCGGCCUCGAACUUCCAGUGGAGGUUUGGUGCGGGCCCUGCCACGAGCGGCACGAGGUCCGCCGUCGGCGUGUGUGAGAUGCAGAUACAAGAGGAGGUUGGCAACGUCGGCAACAUUGCCCGCCUCCGUCUGUACCGAAGGCGCGUGCUCACUCAGUUGUGCGCCUCUGUGUGUGCCUCUCGCCCUCCCUCUCGCGCAGCUUGAAGAAGAUGACGUGAGGCUUCUCUUUUUCUUUUCCGUGUUCUCUGCCUCUCUUCUGCCCUCGGGGGUCUUUCAGCUGCUCUCUCACACGGCCGUGCCCCCUCCCCCUCUCCCUGCCCCUGCUACUGCGGGUUUCGCUGUGCACCGGCGCGAGGCCGACGCGGACGAGAGGUGGGAAAGGGGGGGGGGCGAACUGAAAGAAGAGCGGCAGCAACAGGAACGCAGACGUGGGUAUACACAUAGACACAUAGACAUAUUCAGAUACACACACGUAGGCGUACAUAGGUACAUAUAUACGCUCCUGAGAGCACAGGAAACACAAAUGCCGGCUGCUCUCCGUUAUGACAUUCCGACCGAAGCACGUGG